GGGCAGAUAGCUCAGUUGGUAGAGCACGUGACUGAAAAUCACGGGGUCGCCGGUUCAACCCCGGCUCUGCCCACCA
This 76-nucleotide transfer RNA is filed under the name Planctomycetota bacterium. RNAcentral's name for it is "Planctomycetes bacterium (bioreactor metagenome) tRNA-Phe". It matches the Rfam family "tRNA". From Rfam's summary of the family: Transfer RNA (tRNA) molecules are approximately 80 nucleotides in length. Their secondary structure includes four short double-helical elements and three loops (D, anti-codon, and T loops). Further hydrogen bonds mediate the characteristic L-shaped molecular structure. tRNAs have two regions of fundamental functional importance: the anti-codon, which is responsible for specific mRNA codon recognition, and the 3' end, to which the tRNAs corresponding amino acid is attached (by aminoacyl-tRNA synthetases). tRNAs cope with the degeneracy of the genetic code in two manners: having more than one tRNA (with a specific anti-codon) for a particular amino acid; and 'wobble' base-pairing, i.e. permitting non-standard base-pairing at the 3rd anti-codon position. Lineage: Bacteria; Pseudomonadati; Planctomycetota. The record is from RNAcentral.